AAGUAGUAGAAAGAAAGGGUA
RNAcentral lists this non-coding RNA (21 nucleotides) under Arabidopsis thaliana (thale cress). Lineage: Eukaryota; Viridiplantae; Streptophyta; Magnoliopsida; Brassicales; Brassicaceae. The record is from RNAcentral.